GAUGAACGCUGGCGGCGUGCCUAAUACAUGCAAGUCGAGCGAAUGGAUUAAGAGCUUGCUCUUAUGAAGUUAGCGGCGGACGGGUGAGUAACUCGUGGGUAACCUGCCCAUAAGACUGGGAUAACUCCGGGAAACCGGGGCUAAUACCGGAUAACAUUUUGAACCGCAUGGUUCGAAAUUGAAAGGCGGCUUCGGCUGUCACUUAUGGAUGGACCCGCGUCGCAUUAGCUAGUUGGUGAGGGAACGGCUCACCAAGGCAACGAUGCGGAGCCGACCUGAGAGGGUGGUAGGCCACACUGGGACUGAGACACGGCCCAGACUCCUACGGGAGGCAGCAGUAGGGAAUCUUCCGCAAUGGACGGAAGUCUGACGGAGCAACGCCGCGUGAGUGAUGAAAGCUUUCGGGUCGUAAAACUCUGUUGUUAGGGAAGAACAAGUGCUAGUUGAAUAAGCUGACACCUUGACGGUACCUAACCAGAAAGCCACGGCUGACUACGUGCCAGCCGCCGCGGUAA
RNAcentral lists this ribosomal RNA (515 nucleotides) under uncultured bacterium. Its description in RNAcentral is "partial 16S ribosomal RNA". It matches the Rfam family "Bacterial small subunit ribosomal RNA", at positions 28 to 523 of the family's 1533-position model. The record is from RNAcentral.